This 253-nucleotide ribosomal RNA is filed under the name uncultured bacterium. RNAcentral describes it as "partial 16S ribosomal RNA". It matches the Rfam family "Bacterial small subunit ribosomal RNA", at positions 524 to 776 of the family's 1533-position model. The record is from RNAcentral.
GACAGAGGUGCCGAGCGUUAGGCGGAAUCACUGGGCUUAAAGCGUGUGUAGGCGGACUUCUAAGUACCUUGUGAAAUCCCAUGGCUCAACCAUGGAACUGCUCGGUAUACUGGUUGUCUUGAGCCACUUAGGGGCAGUCGGAACGGACGGUGGAGCGGUGAAAUGCGUAGAUAUCGUCUGGAACGCCAAAGGUGAAAACAGGUUGCUGGGGGUGUGCUGACGCUGAGACACGAAAGCCAGGGGAGCGAACGGG